This 8293-nucleotide long non-coding RNA is filed under the name Lactuca sativa (garden lettuce). RNAcentral's name for it is "long non-coding RNA (LSAT_LNC009578)". Lineage: Eukaryota; Viridiplantae; Streptophyta; Magnoliopsida; Asterales; Asteraceae. The record is from RNAcentral.
GGUUUUUAAAAGGUAAAAUGUGUUUGGUCUUUUAACAUGUCUUCCGAAUAAGAUGUAGACUAAAAGUUUUUUUUUUGUAUCUUUGUUUUCAUAAAAGAAAGCAUGUUUGUUUUUUAAAGUCUAUGGGUUGGUGUUGGAGGUGGUGGCGUUGGUGGGCCGGUGGUGGUGGUUACGGUGAUGCUGAUUGUCUCAUUUGUGUUGGUAGAGAUGUCCGUGGUAGAAAAAGAAAUAUUACAUUGGGGCAAAAACUCAGAAAAUGUUUUCCAAAAAUAGAAACUACUAUCUUUUAAAAAUAUAUAUGUCAAAAAGACGUUUUUAUACCUUGUCUUCCAAAAAACAGUUUUUUCCUCAAAUGUAUGUACCCUCCGUAUAUAAGUGAUCAAAAAGACCAUUUGCCAAAAAAAAACACCUAAUACUAUGUUUGGUGGACUAGUUGGCAAGCCGAGUAAUAGUUGAGAAUCAACUGCUAUCUAAAAUAUUUGUUGUCAACCGAUUAAAAAAAACAAAAUUUUAUAAAACUAGUUAAUAAGCUAGCUGAAACAUAUAAAAAAAAGACAUAAAAUGACAUGUACUAGAUUGAAUUUUUUUAUAAUAAUUAAUAAAGGGUAAAUUUUUGUGAGCUUGAAAAAAGCUCAAUAAAUUUGUUGAAAUAUUAGUCUAAAUUGGCAAUGUCUUAAAAUUUCAUAAUUAAGAGGCAAUGUCUUAAAAUUUCAGAUUCAGACCAUUUGUUUGCGUAUUAUAUUUUACCUCUUAAAAUGAAAAAUACCUCUUAUUUUUUCAGAGAAUAAACGAAGUCUGAAAAAUAAAAAUAAAAAAAGAGACGUGCUUCCUUUUUUCACUAUUUGCCCUAAUCAGAUUGAUGUGUCUUAUUUUUCCCCCUUGCAUCUGCUUGCUUCGCCUCGUUACUCCUCAGCAUCGGACGUCGCCCUAAUCGCCGAAGUCGUUGCACCCAGCAAUCGUCUCCUUCCUCCGCCGCCGCAAUGUUUGCCAUCUCCGUCUCGUUCUUCUUCCGACUGCAGUAGUCAAUCGCAGCAGCCAACAGCAAGGUAUUUUCUGUUUCCUCUUCUGUUUCUUCAUGCUUUCCCUCGAAUUAAUUGUUUCUUCUUGUGUUUCUUCCUUCUUUCCCCUCAAACUUGAACAUAAAAAACCGAAAUUGUUAUGCUAUUAUGCUAUUAAUUUUUUAUUUGUUCAAUAAAAAUCAAUGUUUGAUGUUAUGGUCGAUUUUGAUGUUAUAUCAUCGAAUAUGAAUGAGUUCAAUGGAUAUCAUGAAAUGUUGAUGUUGAAUAUUUUAUGUUAUGUUUGAUUUUUUAUACUCAAAUUUUUAUGUUUCAUGUUUUUGUGUUUGAGUAUUAAGCUGAAAUGUUGUUGAUGCUAGAGUUGUGACAUAAUAUUUAUGUUUAAUGCUUUAGUGAAAUCAUAUAUGCUCUUGUUGUUAUCAUGAAAUAUCCAUUAGUUUUGCUCAAUUGUGCAUUUGUUUUGUUGAAGUAGUUGUUGAAAAUGUGUCUUUAUAUUGCUUAAAUUGUUGUUGAAAAUGUGUAUUUGCAUUGCUUAACUUGUUGCUAAAACAUGCAUUUUUUUUGUUUGAAUUGAUCAAAGAAAGGGGAGAAAAGAAGGAUAGGAAUUAGUUGGAAGGUUGAAGGUGUAUAGAAAACCUUUCUAGAAGCUUGUUUACGUAAAGUUAUAGUUAAUGGACGGGAAGGGAGUAGUUUGAAAGCACUAUCUUGGAGGAAUGUAGCUGAAACACUAAAAAUUGAACAUAACUUUAUUGCCGACCAAAAACAAAUGAAGACCCGCUAUGACUACCUAAAGUCAAAGUUUUAUGCUUUUUUGAAGUUAAAAAACAAAACCGAGAAUGUAUACAAUUCAAACCAACACCUUCAAUCUUUCCAAAGAAGAAUGAGAACUAGAAUCGAAGGUAUUUUGUUAAUUUAUAAAAACUAGAUUAUCAUGUUUAAAUAAUAAAAUAUUUUUUCCAAACAGUCAAACAAACAUGUGGAUUCUUUGAGACGCACGCCACUACCGUACCCCGACCUUUGCACACAGUUGUUUGAAGGCGCGACUGCGACAGGCAUUCAUAGUUGGGGACCAAAUUCUACCCUUCCCCGUCCUACUCAAGAGUCAAGCCACUAUAGUUUGCAUGACUGUGAUGACAUCGAUUGCACUCAACAAGAAACUAUAGGUCUCCGUGACGAGUCAUCCGCUCAAUCAAAAAAACAAAAGACUACAGAUACGGGAAAGAGUCAAAAUAAAAGUAAAUAUAAGCGUAAAGAUAAGGGCAAAGAUGUAUCGAAUUCAAGAUUGCUUGAAAUCGGGGAAGAUAUUGCCACAGUUGCUAAGAUAUUUGUGGAAAAGCAUGCUUCUUCAAAUUUGGAUGCGUGUAUGGAAAAUGUCACAACUAGGAAUUUGAAGCCUUGUAAACAUUGAACAAUGAUAACAAAUGUAAACCAACAAUGGGAAAGCAUGUAAGAUGUUUAUUCAUUAACAACCAAAUCUCAAUCAAACACAUCAUAUAUGCACUACAAAUAGCCAACAAACUAUUGAGAACCAAGAAAUCCUUCUUUAAGUCCAUUUUGGACUAGGAUUUCCUUAUUGGGCCCAAUGGACCAAUAAGCUUCCACUUGGACUAUCUUGGGCUUAGAACUCUUGAAUGGGCUCUAAUUGGACCUACUUUCAUUUAUUUUAACAUUUUGGGCCAUAUUGGGCCUAGAAUGAAAUAAAACACCUUAAUGGACCUCAUUGGGCCAUAACUAACCUAAUUAGCCAUAAUGGGCCAUAAAAAUCAUUUCUUGAUUUAUUUUGGGCCAAUAGUUAUCUAAAUUAUCUAUGAUUUGGACUUAGGCAUUUAAGGGCCCAAUUCCUUCCUUUUUCUCUCCAAAUCUCGGCCCAAGCCCAAAAGAAAGGGAAGAGUUGACUUCUUGCAUGCCACAUCAUUUUUGUAUGGGGGAUAACUAAGCAUUACACUUCAAACAUCCAUGCACUUCUCAUCUUUCCAUGCAAUCUCACUCUCUCCUUUCCUCUCUCUUUUGUUCUCGGCCGACAACACAAAGAAACACACACACCUCACUAAAAAUUCUCUCUAAAUCACUUAAGACACCUCUCUUCCUCUUCAUCCAAAAAUCUCGAGUUUUGCUUGUGAUUCAAGAGGUUUUCAUCAAGUGGUUCGCAUCUUUGGUAAGCUAUCUCUUUGAUUCAUAACAUAUCUCCUUCAUUUUACCAACAAUCUUCCUUAUCUCAUACAACGAUUGUGAUCUUGCACCUUAGAAACAUCUAAGUUCGAGAUCCUCCAAGAAAGGUUGCUAGGAUCGAAUUCUUCUUCAUCUUUUCCUUCCAAAACCGAAACCACACUCAAGGUGAGUUUCAUACCCCCUUCUUUUCGGUUUUUAUGAGUUUUAUGGGGGAGAAUACAAGAAAAUGUGUUGAUCUAUGUGUAAAUGUAUGCUAUGUGUGAUUUGAUGCAUGUAUGUGUGUGAUAUCAUGUGUUUUGUGAUGAAUAUGUUAUCAAAAAGUGUGUAAUAACCGAGAUCUAAGACAUGAGAAAGGAAAUAAACAUAACUUAAGCUAUUUUCCACUAAUCAAGUCAAGAAAAAUAGUUCAUAAGGUUAGGAUAAACAUACUUGAACAUAAAACCCAUUUUUGGGCUUAAAUUGUCAAAAAUACAAACUUGGGGUAAAAAUCAACAAGUCACGGUUCUUGAAGGGUAAGAGGGUCCAAAACAGUUUCUAUAAAUAUUUUCCUGAUUUUUAGAAAUUUAUAAGGACUUAAAAUGUAAAUUCUUAACCUAAUGGGCUAAUUUUGGGCUUUUCGGCCCAAUAAGCCCCAAAAUGCAAAAUUUUACAAGUUGAGGGGCUGGAAAUGAAAUUUUCUGUAAAACAGGGAGUAAUUAGCAUAAUAAAAUGUUUAUAAGGUUCAAAAAUGCUUUUCAUUAUCAAAAAGGACUAAAAAUGCAAACUUUUUAGAUUUUGUGCCAAAAUUGUAAAAGUUGUAAAAAAUGGGUCCUUAACCGAGAACCACUAUUCUAGAGGGGCUGAAACUAUCAACUAAAUAAACUUUGGGGUAAAAUCGUGUUUUCAUCAAAUAAAUCAUACAAAAGUGUCAAGAAAAGUGUUUUAAAGACUAAAAAUGAAAUCCUUUUAUAUAAAAGGACCAAAAGUGUUAUUUUUAUAAAAGGAUGAGUAAUUAAAAAGGGCCAACACUCUACUUACAAACAAUCAAAUUAAGAUACAAGAUCCGCGAAUUACCGGCGAAAAUGGAAAACAAAUACACUCUCAACAAUACAUAUCGUUACCAAACGAAUUGAUUCGGUCUCGAAUCAAUAACAACACAAAAUCGUUAAACCAAAAUAAUUCGUUAAUCACGUGAUAACUAUAAUAAGUUAACAUACAAACUUUGGGCUUGAAAUUUUCAAAUCUUGCUUGUUGGGCCUUGCUGGCCAUCAACAUGAUCUUUGAGCCCAAAGGGAUUAUGCUUACGUGAUAUUGGGCCUUUUAUGACCCAAUUCCACGUNAUUAUGCUUACGUGAUAUUGGGCCUUCUAUGACCCAAUUCCACGUAAAAGGACUUUCAAUAGCUAUAAUGUGUUAUUGGGCCCUAAUGGCCCAUUAGUACUGCUAGUGAGGUCGAGAAGUCAAAUGCGAGUUGGGCCAAGUGUCUUUCGCAUUCCCGAUAGCCUUGAAUAACUCCUGGUAAUAAAUGGGGCUUCGUACCCUCCUUUCUCCUCGGUUGUUGGGCUAUGAGAAAACAAAGUAAACAGAUUUAGGACGAUAAACAAUAGUAAUCAGGGUGGGUGGAUUAAGUGAGUAGUAACGACCGAAGCCUUCAAGGAUCGUUCGUAAUCUGUAGUUAUAAACUAGUCAUUUUCCUAAUGCGCGAUUAUAACAACUCACAAACCCUAAUUAAUCCAACGCCACCCGGGUAAUCAAAAACAAUUGACAUAUCGGUAUAACAAUAAACAAGUCAUGUAUUUUACGUAUUGGGAAAACAUCGGGUUUUCCUGGGAAGUUCAACAUUUUCACUUGUGUGACGUAUACAAAGUUCAACAACUAUACAUGUUUUAAAAAUCAACAAGCAUAUUUACGGAUCUUCACACCUUUUUUUAAACAAAUACUCUUUUCAGAAAAUAUCGGAUUUUCUGGGUUUACAAACUACACCAAAUCAUUUUACUACAACAUUACUCAUGAACUGACCAACAUUUCAUAUGUUGACGUUUUUCAAAAUAACUUGUAUUCUCAGGUAACAGGUAAGCCGAAGAAUAAGUAUCAAGUUAUGUCAUGGUGUUUUGCUUAGAUUAUCUAUCGAACGGUUUAUGUUAUGAAAUUGAUAUGACUAAAACAAUGUAAUGGAUGUAAACGAUAUCAGUUGUAUUAUUUCAAUGCAUGGUGAUGAAUGAUGUUAUGAUUCAUGUAUAAUCAUUGUGAUGGUAUUCAAUUUAAGUCACAAGAGCCCUCGGACGUUUCCGCCGUCUGGUUCGGGGGUGAGACAUGAAAGUUGGAGAAGUUAGGAUGGGGAAUAUUUGAUCCAAGAUACACUACUGUUGUUGAUCUUUUUGGUGAAGGUGCGGAUAAGAGACACGUGUCGUUAACCAUUGAUCCAACUAUUUGUGAGAAUUGGGUCAAGACUGUUGGAGCACAUUAUGGAAUGUUUUGCUAAGUAGAUGUUUUGAAUGUUUUGAUGGUUUUUUUUUUGGAUAAGUACAUGUUUGGUUUGAACUAGAUGGUUCUUUUGGAUUGCUUGAUGUUUGGUUUGAACUAGAUGGUUUUUUUGGAUUACUUGAUGUUUUGUUUGAACUAGAUGUUUUUUUGGAUUAUUUGAUCUUUGGUUUGAACUAGAUUUUUAUAUGACAUGAAUGACUUGAUGUUUUGGAUGAAUUUUUAUGUUACAUGUUGUUAAUAUAAUUGUUAUGUAUUUUCAAAAUAACAGAUUGCUUAUGGAUUCGGAUGAAGAAAUUGCAUUUUUCAUUUUACUAUGUUGUUAUUGGUUAAAUCUAGCAUCCAAUAGAAUUGGAAGGGCAUUUGAUAAUGAUUCAGAAAUGAGCGGUCAUCAACAUACACAAGAAUUGUUACAUGGAACUUCUAAACAAUGUCAUGAGCUGAUGCGUCUUUCACGUGAAGCGUAUGUACUUUUAUGCAAUCAUUUAGACGAAACAAUUGGUUGCAAAGUAGUAGGCAUACAAGUGUUGAAGAAAAGAUGGCUAUGUUUUUUACAACUAUAGCACAUAACAAACGGUUCAGGAUUAUCAAACGAAGGUUUCAACACUCCACAGAAACUGUACAUAGAUGCUUUCAUGAGGUGCUAAAUGCAAAUAUGAUUUUUGCAAAAGAAAUUAUAGUGCCAACGAAUUCUAAUGCAACUGUGAAUUCCUCAGAGAGACAUCGUAGGCUAAAAAAAUAUUUACUGGAGCAAUAGGUGCGUUAGAUGGAACUCUUGUACAUGCAGUCGUGUCUGCUGAUCAACAACCUCGUUAUAAGGGAAUAGAAAAAGGUGAAUGCUUUCAAAAUGUUUUAGGAAUUUGUGAUUUUGAUAUGAUAUUCACAUUCGUAUGGGCCGGUUGGGAGGGUAUAACACAUAAUUCGCGAGUUUUGAAAGAAGUUGCAUUUAACCCGACUUCAAGCUUUCCGUUUCCUCCUCCAAGUUUGUAAUCCUUUUUAAAUUUAUUAUAAAAUACGCUUUUAAAUUUCUAUACAUAAUACUUCUUUCACUCAUGUGUAUAGAUAAAUAUUACAUUUGCGAUGCUGCAUACACCAACACUCGUGGAUUUAUGACUCCUUACCGUAACACGAGGUAUUGGUUAUCUGAUUAUCGACGACGACGUCCGUUAACUAAGGAAGAAAAAUUCAAUCAUGCACAUGCGCAACUCAGAGAUGUUGUUGAACGUGCUUACGGUGUUUUGAAGGCGCGAUUCCCAAUCCUAAAGCGAAUGACUCCUUUUCCUUUUUCAGUGCAAAGAGAUAUAGUCAUUGCUUGUUUUGCAGUCCACAAUUUCAUAAGAAAAUGCAAUAUUCAUGAUGAGUUAUUUAUGGCGUUCGAGGAGAACGAUGGUCAAACACAAGGGGUAGCGAAUGAUGGCCAAAACGUACACGAUAUGGAAUGGGGUUCACAAAGCAAUGAAUACAUGGUUAAUUUGUGUAACCAGAUUGCGAAUCAAUUGGGGUCAAAUUAAAUUUGUAGGAUUUUAUUUGGAUUUUAGUAUGAUUUUGUGGAUUUAAAAAUAUUUAUGUUUGAUUUGGAUUUGUAUUUGUAUUUAAUUUUGAUUUAUGCUAAAUCUGGAUUUUAUAUGGUGUUUAUAUUUUUUUAAUACCUAUUUAAGAAAUUUAUUAGGUUAUUUUCUAAACAAACAGUUGAAUUCAAUAAAAAAAACAAAAGGGUAAAAUGGUCAUUUUAAUAAUUCAACACAACAAUUCAGAGAUCCCAACCAAACAGCAUGUUAAACAUUCAGCUCUUAAAAUUUCAGACCCUCUUAGAAAUUCAGAUCUCUUAAAAAUUCAGAUCUUAAACAUUCAGAUCCUGCCAAACAGCCCCUAAGCCUUCUUACUAAAACAUAAAGAGCCACUCAAAUAUGGAGGGAUCGGUGUAGAACUCAACCUCGAACCUCGUACUAAGCAACACAACUACUAACUUCCUUUAAAAUCAUGUGGUCAUUUCUCAAAUUCCUCUAAAAUUCAAUCAAAAUAAGAGUCGUGUCACUGUUGUAUUAAAUUUGUUGCAAUCAAGUUACUCAUGCAAAUUUUAACUCGGUUUCAAAACUAAGAUUUGGCUUAGAGUGUAAAAUUGAAUGAUGAUUGUUAUUCAAGAACUAAACAAUAAGGUGAUGUUCGGUUUUUAAAAGGUAAAAUUUCUUUGGUCUUUUAACAUGUCUUCCGAAUAAGAUGUAGACUAAAAGUUUUUUUUUUGUAUCUUUGUUUUCAUAAAAAGAAAGCAUGUUUGUUUUUUAAAGUCUAUGGGUUGGUGUUGGAGGUUGUGGCGUUGGUGGGUCGGUGGUGGUGGUUGCGGUGAUGCUGAUUGUGUCAUUUGUAUUGGUAGAGAUGUCCGUGGUAGAAAAAGAAAUAUUACAUUGGGGCAAAAACUCAGAAAAUGUCUUCCAAAAAUAGAAACUACUAUCUUUUAAAAAAAAUAUCAAAAAGACAUUUUUAUACCUUGUCUUCCAAAAAACAGUUUUUUCUUCAAAUGUAUCCACCCUCCGUAUAUAAGUGAUAAAAAAGACCAUUUGCCAAAAAAAAACACCUAAUACUAUGUUUGGUGGACUAGUUGACAAGCCGAGUGAUAAUUGAGAAUCAACUGCUAUUUAAAAAAUUUAAUGC